RNAcentral lists this ribosomal RNA (316 nucleotides) under Enterococcus faecium. RNAcentral describes it as "bacterial LSU rRNA". It matches the Rfam family "Bacterial large subunit ribosomal RNA", at positions 2231 to 2549 of the family's 2925-position model. The record is from RNAcentral. Lineage: Bacteria; Bacillati; Bacillota; Bacilli; Lactobacillales; Enterococcaceae.
ACCACUAAUCGUGGUGGGAGACAGUGUCAGAUGGGCAGUUUGACUGGGGCGGUCGCCUCCUAAAAGGUAACGGAGGCGCCCAAAGGUUCCCUCAGAAUGGUUGGAAAUCAUUCGAAGAGUGUAAAGGCAGAAGGGAGCUUGACUGCGAGACCAACAAGUGCAGGGACGAAAGUCGGGCUUAGUGAUCCGGUGGUUCCGCAUGGAAGGGCCAUCGCUCAACGGAUAAAAGCUACCCUGGGGAUAACAGGCUUAUCUCCCCCAAGAGUCCACAUCGACGGGGAGGUUUGGCACCUCGAUGUCGGCUCGUCGCAUCCUG